RNAcentral lists this ribosomal RNA (497 nucleotides) under uncultured bacterium. RNAcentral describes it as "partial 16S ribosomal RNA". It matches the Rfam family "Bacterial small subunit ribosomal RNA", at positions 28 to 507 of the family's 1533-position model. The record is from RNAcentral.
GAUGAACGCUGGCGGCGUGCCUAAUACAUGCAAGUCGAGCGAACAGACGAGGAGCUUGCUCCUCUGACGUUAGCGGCGGACGGGUGAGUAACACGUGGAUAACCUACCUAUAAGACUGGGAUAACUUCGGGAAACCGGAGCUAAUACCGGAUAAUAUAUUGAACCGCAUGGUUCAAUAGUGAAAGACGGUUUUGCUGUCACUUAUAGAUGGAUCCCCGCCGCAUUAGCUGGUUGGUAAGGUAACGGCUUACCAAGGCAACGAUGCGUAGCCGACCUGCGAGGGUGAUCGGCCACACUGGAACUGGGACACGGUCCAGACUCCUACGGGAGGCAGCAGUAGGGAACCUUACGCAAUGGGCGAAAGCCUGACGGAGCAACGCCGCGUGAGUGAUGAAGGUCUUCGGAUCGUAAAGCUCUGUUAUUAGGGAAGAACAAAUGUGUAAGUAACUAUGCACGUCUUGACGGUACCUAAUCAGAAAGCCACGGCUAACUACGUG